This 216-nucleotide long non-coding RNA is filed under the name Brassica napus (rape). Its description in RNAcentral is "long non-coding RNA (BNAP_LNC011153)". Lineage: Eukaryota; Viridiplantae; Streptophyta; Magnoliopsida; Brassicales; Brassicaceae. The record is from RNAcentral.
AACCCGAACCCCGAAACCCGAAAUCCAAAACCCGAAACCCCAAACCCGAAACCCCGAACCCCAAACCCCAAACCCCGAACCCCUAAACCCGAAACCCGAAACCAAAAACCCGAAACCCGAAACCAAAAACCCGAAACCCAAACCCGAAACCCGAAACCCGAAACCCGAAACCCCAAACCCAUAUUCCUUAUUUUCUACUUCAUAUAUUCCAAACCC